ACGGAGGGUGCAAGCGUUAAUCGGAAUUACUGGGCGUAAAGCGCACGCAGGCGGUUUGUUAAGUCAGAGGUGAAAGCUCCCAGCUUAACCGUGGAACUGCAGUUGAUACUGUUAGACUUGAGUGUCAAAGAGGUAGGUGGAAUGCGAGGUGUAGCGGUGAAAUGCGUAGAGAUCACGCGGAACACCGAUGGCGAAGGCAGCUUACCAGACGACAACUGACGCUGAAGCGCGAAAGCGUGGGGAUCAAACAG
RNAcentral lists this ribosomal RNA (251 nucleotides) under uncultured prokaryote. RNAcentral describes it as "partial 16S rRNA". It matches the Rfam family "Bacterial small subunit ribosomal RNA", at positions 525 to 775 of the family's 1533-position model. The record is from RNAcentral.